RNAcentral lists this ribosomal RNA (255 nucleotides) under uncultured bacterium. RNAcentral's name for it is "partial small subunit ribosomal RNA". It matches the Rfam family "Bacterial small subunit ribosomal RNA", at positions 26 to 285 of the family's 1533-position model. The record is from RNAcentral.
AGGACGAACGCUGGCGGCGUGCUUAACACAUGCAAGUCGAGCGGAAAGGCCCUUCGGGGUACGUCGAGCGGCGAACGGGUGAGUAACACGUGGGCAACCUGCCCUUAGCUCUGGGAUAGCUCCGGGAAACCGGAAUUAAUACCGGAUAUGACCUAGGCCGACAUCGGCCGUGGUGGAAAGUUUUUCGGCUAGGGAUGGACUCGCGGCCUAUCAGCUAGUUGGUGGGGUAAUGGCCUACCAAGGCGACGACGGGUA